AUGACAUUUUCCAGUAAGAGAGAUGACGAAGGCAAGGUUUUAACAAUUCCGUUUGGGUAUUGUGAUGGCAACCCAAACAAGAAGCAAUCUGGUUGUAUAGAGAGAACAAGACGAAACAAUCUAGCUAGGAAUUCCUCGGGUUCACCUAUCAGCAAUGAUAUCCAUACUGGAGAGAUGUCUUCAUCCAGGUUUUAUUGGGAAUUGUCAAUCAAGGGACUUCAUGGAAAGCCAACAGGAAGGAUGGAUAACUGUUCACAGCACGGAGUGAACAAAGACUCAGAAAAGCUGCUGGGAGCUAUCAUCUGAAGCCCAUCCCUGAGAGAUGCAAACAGGAAAGACUCACAUUCCUUCAGCUGAGGAUCUGCAGACAGGGCCUAGACCUUCAACAGCUCAUGUCAGUCUCCCAAGACCCCUUCGAGUGGCUAUCAUUAUGACCCUUAUUUUACUGAAGAGGAAACUAAGAGUUUGGAAUUUAAAUGACGUUUUCAGGGUCACAAACUAGCAAAUAGCAGAGCUGGAAUGGAUUACUGCACCCUUUUCCUAUUGGCCUCAAGCAUAAAGAAUGGUUGAU
Molecule: long non-coding RNA, 571 nt
Filed under: Mus spicilegus (steppe mouse)
Lineage: Eukaryota; Metazoa; Chordata; Mammalia; Rodentia; Muridae
Description: lncRNA (ENSMSIG00000026960.1)
Source: RNAcentral